UACGUAUGGUGCAAGCGUUAUCCGGAAUGACUGGGUGUAAAGGGAGCGUAGACGGUUGUACAAGUCUGAUGUGAAAGCCCACGGCUCAACUGUGGGAGUGCAUUGGAAACUGUAGAACUAGAGUAUCGGAGAGGCAAGUGGAAUUCCUAGUGUAGCGGUGAAAUGCGUAGAUAUUAGGAGGAACACCAGUGGCGAAGGCGGCUUGCUGGACGAAAACUGACGUUGAGGCUCGAAAGCGUUGGGAGCAAACAGG
This 253-nucleotide ribosomal RNA is filed under the name uncultured bacterium. Its description in RNAcentral is "partial 16S ribosomal RNA". It matches the Rfam family "Bacterial small subunit ribosomal RNA", at positions 524 to 776 of the family's 1533-position model. The record is from RNAcentral.